AUUGAACGCUGGCGGAAUGCUUUACACAUGCAAGUCGAGCGGCAGCGCGGGGCAACCUGGCGGCGAGCGGCGAACGGGUGAGUAAUGCAUCGGAACAUGUCCAUUCGUGGGGGAUAGCCCGGCGAAAGCCGGAUUAAUACCGCAUACGCCCUGAGGGGAAAGUGGGGACCGGCAAGGCCUCACGCGAUUGGGUUGGCCGAUGUCCGAUUAGCUAGUU
This 217-nucleotide ribosomal RNA is filed under the name uncultured bacterium. Its description in RNAcentral is "partial 16S ribosomal RNA". It matches the Rfam family "Bacterial small subunit ribosomal RNA", at positions 30 to 250 of the family's 1533-position model. The record is from RNAcentral.